RNAcentral lists this small RNA (400 nucleotides) under Brevibacillus panacihumi W25. RNAcentral's name for it is "cspA thermoregulator". It matches the Rfam family "cspA thermoregulator". The record is from Rfam by way of RNAcentral. Lineage: Bacteria; Bacillati; Bacillota; Bacilli; Caryophanales; Paenibacillaceae.
AACCGCAUAUAUUAUGGGAGUAGGUAUGUUUCACAUAUCAUGAAGGGGUAUCGUUGUUACAAUCAUGAGGGUACAUCUUCAUGAUAUGUGAGCUUUAUUUGCUUCGGUAAAUAUGACUAGCAUAUUCAAAUUGACUUUUGGAGGUUUUCUUCAUGCAAACGAACGGAACAGUAAAAUGGUUUAACGCAGAAAAAGGUUUCGGUUUCAUUCAAGUAGAAGGCGGAGACGAUGUAUUCGUACACUUCAGCGCAAUCCAAGGCGAUGGUUUCAAAACCCUGGAUGAAGGUCAACGCGUACAAUUCAACAUCGUUCAAGGCAACCGUGGUCCACAAGCUGAGAACGUAGUAAAACUGUAAGAGUCUCCUAUGAAAAAACUGUCCGCUAGCGGGCAGUUUUUUUU